UAUAGCCAUACCACACUGAGUAUGCCCAGACACGUCUGAUCUCAGAAGGUAAGCAUGGAUGGAACUGGUUAGAAUGUACAUGGAAAAAUAGCAAGUAAAACACUGUGC
This 108-nucleotide ribosomal RNA is filed under the name Mus pahari (shrew mouse). RNAcentral describes it as "rRNA (MGP_PahariEiJ_G0032711.1)". The record is from RNAcentral. Lineage: Eukaryota; Metazoa; Chordata; Mammalia; Rodentia; Muridae.